Molecule: microRNA precursor, 52 nt
Filed under: Camelus bactrianus (Bactrian camel)
Lineage: Eukaryota; Metazoa; Chordata; Mammalia; Artiodactyla; Camelidae
Also listed under: 2 other names
Description: mir-1302 microRNA precursor family
Rfam family: mir-1302 microRNA precursor family
Source: Rfam by way of RNAcentral
UUUUUAGUAUAGAUAUGUCCCAUGCAAUAUUGGGGGCAUAUUUAUACUAAAA